Molecule: ribosomal RNA, 164 nt
Filed under: uncultured bacterium
Lineage: Bacteria
Description: partial 16S ribosomal RNA
Rfam family: Bacterial small subunit ribosomal RNA
Source: RNAcentral
UAGGGAAUCUUCCACAAUGGGCGCAAGUCUGAUGGAGCAACGCCGCGUGAGUGAAGAAGGGUUUCGGCUCGUAAAACUCUGUUGUUAAAGAAGAACAUAUCUGAGAGUAACUGUUCAGGUAUUGACGGUAUUUAACCAGAAAGCCACGGCUAACUACGUGCUAG